GCGGUGCAGUCGGCCCCUCCCACAAGCAGCCAACUGUCAGUCAGCGACCGUUAGUGGCCCAUUCAGCCAGCGGUCAGAGGAGUGGUGGUUGUCAGCCAGAGAGUGAGCAAGUUUGGCUUUUGAGGAAAAAGGAGGAAGCCCAAUUCCGCCACAGCACCCACUUCCCAUUUUUCUUAAGGUCCAUGGGGUUACCCAGGAUUGCUUCAUGGUCAAAAGAUGGCUGUUGGAGAUCCAGUCUUCAUGUCUCAAACAGGAAGAAGAAGAAAGGGCCAAAUGCAAAUAGAUAUGUAAUAGUAGGGUAUACCCUCUUUGAAUCAGUUUCCCAGAAGUGAUACACCAAGGUUUCUAGAUCCUUUGGGAGGUUUACUUCUCACUGACAUUUGAUCGUUAUAACUCUGUGAUCAGCAAAAACAUCCAAUUCUACAGAGUUCUGUGGAAGCAGAAUGGGACUGAAUAAUCUAUGAUAACUAGAAUUAAAUAAAAUUGGACCAAAAUGAUGUUAAGCAUUGUUAAAGAGGAUUUGAGAGUACACAAUUGGAGAUAAAUUUGUGUUUGAUACCCUGCAAACUGGGACUUCUUAAUAAACCGAGUGUAAUUUGAG
This is a long non-coding RNA of Odocoileus virginianus texanus, 601 nucleotides long. RefSeq lists it as uncharacterized. NCBI's taxonomy places the organism in Eukaryota, Metazoa, Chordata, Mammalia, Artiodactyla, Cervidae. The record is from RefSeq and is a predicted model, not a curated record.